Molecule: ribosomal RNA, 406 nt
Filed under: uncultured bacterium
Lineage: Bacteria
Description: partial 16S ribosomal RNA
Rfam family: Bacterial small subunit ribosomal RNA
Source: RNAcentral
AUUGAACGCUGGCGGCAGGCCUAACACAUGCAAGUCGAGCGAGCGGCGGACGGGUGAGUAAUGUCUGGGAGACUGCCUGAGGGAGGGGGAUAACUACUGGAAACAGUAGCUAAUACCGCAUACACCCAGAGGUGCCCAGAUGGGAUUAGCUAGUAGGUGGGGUACCGGCUCACCUAGGCGACGAUCCCUAGCUGGUCUGAGAGGAUGACCAGCCACACUGGAACUGAGACACGGUCCAGACUCCUACGGGAGGCAGCAGUGGGGAAUAUUGCACAAUGGGCGCAAGCCUGAUGCAGCCAUGCCGCGUGUGUGAAGAAGGCCUUCGGGUUGUAAAGCACUUUCAGCGGGGAGGCGUUACCCGCAGAAGAAGCACCGGCUAACUCCGUGCCAGAAGCCGCGGUAAUUC